GUAGGUGGCAAGCGUUGUCCGGAAUUAUUGGGCGUAAAGCGCGCGCAGGCGGUUCUUUAAGUCUGAUGUGAAAGCCCACGGCUCAACCGUGGAGGGUCAUUGGAAACUGGAGAACUUGAGUACAGAAGAGGAAAGCGGAAUUCCACGUGUAGCGGUGAAAUGCGUAGAGAUGUGGAGGAACACCAGUGGCGAAGGCGGCUUUCUGGUCUGUAACUGACGCUGAGGCGCGAAAGCGUGGGGAGCAGACAGGAUUAGAUACCCUGGUAGUCCACGCCGUAAACGAUGAGUGCUAAGUGUUAGGGGGUUUUCCGCCCCCCUUAGUGCUGCAGCUAACGCAUUAAGCACUCCGCCUGGGAGUACGGCCGCAAGGCUG
This 373-nucleotide ribosomal RNA is filed under the name uncultured organism. RNAcentral describes it as "partial 16S ribosomal RNA". It matches the Rfam family "Bacterial small subunit ribosomal RNA", at positions 527 to 896 of the family's 1533-position model. The record is from RNAcentral.